AUUGAACGCUGGCGGAAUGCUUUACACAUGCAAGUCGAACGGCAGCACGGGUGCUUGCACCUGGUGGCGAGUGGCGAACGGGUGAGUAAUGUAUCGGAACGUAUCCAAUAAUGGGGGAUAACGAGUCGAAAGAUUCGCUAAUACCGCAUACGCCCUACGGGGGAAGCAGGGGAUCUUCGGACCUUGCGUUAAUGGAGCGGCCGAUAUCUGAUUAGCUAGUUGGUGGGGUAAAGCUCACCAAGGCGACGAUCAGUAGCUGGUCUGAGAGGACGACCAGCCACACUGGAACUGAGACACGGUCCAGACUCCUACGGGUGGCAG
RNAcentral lists this ribosomal RNA (321 nucleotides) under uncultured Pseudomonadota bacterium. RNAcentral's name for it is "bacterial SSU rRNA". It matches the Rfam family "Bacterial small subunit ribosomal RNA", at positions 30 to 351 of the family's 1533-position model. The record is from RNAcentral. Lineage: Bacteria; Pseudomonadati; Pseudomonadota.